Molecule: ribosomal RNA, 464 nt
Filed under: Vreelandella stevensii
Lineage: Bacteria; Pseudomonadati; Pseudomonadota; Gammaproteobacteria; Oceanospirillales; Halomonadaceae
Description: partial 16S ribosomal RNA
Rfam family: Bacterial small subunit ribosomal RNA
Source: RNAcentral
CCUACGGCGGCAGCAGUGGGGAAUAUUGGACAAUGGGGGGAACCCUGAUCCAGCCAUGCCGCGUGUGUGAAGAAGGCCCUCGGGUUGUAAAGCACUUUCAGUGAGGAAGAACGCCUGGUGGUUAAUACCCAUCAGGAAAGACAUCACUCACAGAAGAAGCACCGGCUAACUCCGUGCCAGCAGCCGCGGUAAUACGGAGGGUGCGAGCGUUAAUCGGAAUUACUGGGCGUAAAGCGCGCGUAGGUGGCUUGAUAAGCCGGUUGUGAAAGCCCCGGGCUCAACCUGGGAACGGCAUCCGGAACUGUCAAGCUAGAGUGCAGGAGAGGAAGGUAGAAUUCCCGGUGUAGCGGUGAAAUGCGUAGAGAUCGGGAGGAAUACCAGUGGCGAAGGCGGCCUUCUGGACUGACACUGACACUGAGGUGCGAAAGCGUGGGUAGCAAACAGGAUUAGAUACCCGAGUAGUC